RNAcentral lists this small RNA (119 nucleotides) under Streptomycetaceae bacterium MP113-05. RNAcentral's name for it is "Streptomyces-metK RNA". It matches the Rfam family "Streptomyces-metK RNA". Lineage: Bacteria; Bacillati; Actinomycetota; Actinomycetes; Kitasatosporales; Streptomycetaceae. The record is from Rfam by way of RNAcentral.
UCGAGACGCCGUGAUUCGAAAAGGCCCGGGACGGAUAAACUGGUCGCGGACCGUCAUCGGGCGCAGCCCCCGGAGGCGUGCCGCCAUGUUCAGCCAGCAGCCGCUGCAACCCCAGGGAG